RNAcentral lists this long non-coding RNA (276 nucleotides) under Amborella trichopoda. RNAcentral's name for it is "long non-coding RNA (ATRI_LNC003560)". The record is from RNAcentral. Lineage: Eukaryota; Viridiplantae; Streptophyta; Magnoliopsida; Amborellales; Amborellaceae.
CACUCUUGUGCUUUGAGCUCUUUCCUCCAAAAAGAGAACUUGAAAGCAAAUCAAACGAUUUUUCGAAACCUCUUUCUUAUCAAAGCAUGAUUGAAAGAAGGAUUUCGAUGAAACUUGGUUGGAGGAGGUGUUAGGCAGUUCAGUCUCUUAUAGGGUGGUUAACUCUCUUAUAAGAGAUGCUAACCUUACUCAUAGUAUUCCCGGUUAAUGAAUUCUAGUUUAUGUGAGUAAGCAUAGGGUAGGCUUAUGUGAGCGAGUAAGGCUUGGUUAAGUCUC